GGACGACCCGCUCUACCUCCUGAGCCAUGCCGCUCUGUCACCAUUCGCCUCCGUCACCGUUUGCAGAGGCGCCGCACUUCCAGACUCGAAAAACUCCUUGAGGUCAGAUGUUGAACUGCAGCCUUUGAAGAAAUUAAAGCAGAUGCAUAAGGUCCUCUUCCCCAGACGAGAUCCUUGACAGCUUUGAUGACUUCUGCCAAAGACAAAGAGAUCGGGCAACAGGAACAAAUGUUGUGUGAAAGUUUGUUUUCAGCUAGAAUGAUGAGCCAGAAAAGAAUGAUGUGCUUUGCCUGGGAUGGGAAUAUAUCAAACAACAAUCAGAUCAAGCCUAAGAACAACAUUGGACCAGGACCUUUGUUUCCUUUUUUGUUGUCUUCUACUCUGUCUCUAUGUCAUUCUACCUUUCAAUAUACAAUUCUCUGUCCGAUAACGGGGAAGAAAUCUUUAAAAUAACUCAACAAAACUUUGA
Molecule: long non-coding RNA, 469 nt
Organism: Lampris incognitus (smalleye Pacific opah)
Lineage: Eukaryota; Metazoa; Chordata; Actinopteri; Lampriformes; Lampridae
Exons: 3
Source: RefSeq, a predicted model, not a curated record